Pecten maximus is the source of this 293-nucleotide long non-coding RNA. RefSeq lists it as uncharacterized. The transcript is spliced from 3 exons. NCBI's taxonomy places the organism in Eukaryota, Metazoa, Mollusca, Bivalvia, Pectinida, Pectinidae. The record is from RefSeq and is a predicted model, not a curated record.
GACGUAUUUAGUAACCAUCAUGUCUGACGUCAUCAUCACGUGGGGAGUAGUGUCGUUCAUCAUCUUUGGUACAGGUACACUGUCUGCUGCAGUCAGAAUUACGAAGAUGUAUUACGUGAGCACUGUCCUACUGUUAAUAUCCCUACUGUUUAAAUGUGUCUGUAUUCUAGUUUGGAUACCAAUGCGGAUAUCAAUCGACAGCAAUCUAUCGGACGCUAUGAAAACUGCAUUGCGGAAUAAUUAUAAAACUGAUAUACCUCAUACGAAGUUAUACAUGGAGGAAAAGAACCUAG